Molecule: transfer RNA, 73 nt
Filed under: Ovis aries (sheep)
Lineage: Eukaryota; Metazoa; Chordata; Mammalia; Artiodactyla; Bovidae
Rfam family: tRNA
About the family: Transfer RNA (tRNA) molecules are approximately 80 nucleotides in length. Their secondary structure includes four short double-helical elements and three loops (D, anti-codon, and T loops). Further hydrogen bonds mediate the characteristic L-shaped molecular structure. tRNAs have two regions of fundamental functional importance: the anti-codon, which is responsible for specific mRNA codon recognition, and the 3' end, to which the tRNAs corresponding amino acid is attached (by aminoacyl-tRNA synthetases). tRNAs cope with the degeneracy of the genetic code in two manners: having more than one tRNA (with a specific anti-codon) for a particular amino acid; and 'wobble' base-pairing, i.e. permitting non-standard base-pairing at the 3rd anti-codon position.
Source: Rfam by way of RNAcentral
UCCCUGGUGGUCUAGUGGUUAAGCCCCUGUGCUUCCAAUGCAGGAGGUGCAGGUCUGAUUCCUGGUCAGGGAG